UUCCAGACUCCUACGGGAGGCAGCAGUGGGGAAUAUUGGGCAAUGGGCGAAAGCCUGACCCAGCGACGCCGCGUGAGGGAAGAAGGUCUUCGGAUUGUAAACCUCUUUCAGCAGGGAAGAAGAAAGUGACGGUACCUGCAGAAGAAGUCACGGCUAACUACGUGCCAGCCGCCGCGGUAAUACGUAGGUGGCGAGCGUUAUCCGGAAUUACUGGGUGUAAAGGGAGCGUAGACGGCAGCGCAAGUCUGAAGUGAAAUCCCAUGGCUUAACCAUGGAACUGCUUUGGAAACUGUGCAGCUGGAGUGCAGGAGAGGUAAGCGGAAUUCCUAGUGUAGCGGUGAAAUGCGUAGAUAUUAGGAGGAACACCAGUGGCGAAGGCGGCUUACUGGACUGUAACUGACGUUGAGGCUCGAAAGCGUGGGGAGCAAACAGGAUUAGAUACCCCGGUA
RNAcentral lists this ribosomal RNA (449 nucleotides) under uncultured bacterium. RNAcentral describes it as "bacterial SSU rRNA". It matches the Rfam family "Bacterial small subunit ribosomal RNA", at positions 329 to 792 of the family's 1533-position model. The record is from RNAcentral.